This 447-nucleotide ribosomal RNA is filed under the name uncultured bacterium. RNAcentral describes it as "partial 16S ribosomal RNA". It matches the Rfam family "Bacterial small subunit ribosomal RNA", at positions 29 to 523 of the family's 1533-position model. The record is from RNAcentral.
AGCGAACGCUGGCGGCAGGCCUAACACAUGCAAGUCGAACGCACCGCAAGGUGAGUGGCAGACGGGUGAGUAACGCGUGGGAACGUGCCCUUCGGUUCGGAAUAACCCGGGGAAACUCGGGCUAAUACCGGAUACGUCCGUAAGGAGAAAGAUUUAUCGCCGAAGGAUCGGCCCGCGUCGGAUUAGCUAGUUGGUGAGGUAACGGCUCACCAAGGCGACGAUCCGUAGCUGGUCUGGGAGGACGAUCAGCCACACUGGGACUGAGACACGGCCCAGACUCCUACGGGAGGCAGCAGUGGGGAAUAUUGGACAAUGGGCGCAAGCCUGAUCCAGCCAUGCCGCGUGAGUGAUGAAGGCCUUAGGGUUGUAAAGCUCUUUUAGCGGGGACGAUAAUGACGGUACCCGCAGAAAAAGCCCCGGCUAACUUCGUGCCAGCCGCCGCGGUAA